GAUGAACGCUGGCGGCGUGCCUAAUACAUGCCAGUCGAGCGAACAGACGAGGAGCUUGCUCCUCUGACGUUAGCGGCGGACGGGUGAGUAACACGUGGAUAACCUACCUAUAAGACUGGGAUAACUUCGGGAAACCGGAGCUAAUACCGGAUAAUAUAUUGAACCGCAUGGUUCAAUAGUGAAAGACGGUUUUGCUGUCACUUAUAGAUGGAUCCGCGCCGCAUUAGCUAGUUGGUAAGGUAACGGCUUACCAAGGCAACGAUGCGUAGCCGACCUGAGAGAGUGAUCGGCCACACUGGAACUGAGACACGGUCCAGACUCCUACGGGAGGCAGCAGUAGGGAAUCUUCCGCAAUGGGCGAAAGCUUGACGGAGCAACGCCGCGUGAGUGAUGAAGGUCUUCGGAUCGUAAAACUCUGUUAUUAGGGAAGAACAAAUGUGUAAGUAACUAUGCACGUCUUGACGGUACCUAAUCAGAAAGCCGCGGCUAACUACGUG
RNAcentral lists this ribosomal RNA (497 nucleotides) under uncultured bacterium. RNAcentral's name for it is "partial 16S ribosomal RNA". It matches the Rfam family "Bacterial small subunit ribosomal RNA", at positions 28 to 507 of the family's 1533-position model. The record is from RNAcentral.